This 768-nucleotide long non-coding RNA is filed under the name Sorghum bicolor (sorghum). RNAcentral's name for it is "long non-coding RNA (SBIC_LNC014481)". The record is from RNAcentral. Lineage: Eukaryota; Viridiplantae; Streptophyta; Magnoliopsida; Poales; Poaceae.
ACGUGGUUCGGGCCAGACAUAGACAUACCCCUUUGAAGUAGAGAAACCAUAGUUAUCCUCUCUAUUAUGCUACCAUCGCCCAUAUACUAGAAUUGCUCUACUCUCUAUUCCCAUAUUAUCACUCACUGUUAUAUUACCUUUAAUAUUGUUCUUAUUCAAUUCUACCCUCUUUCCUAUUUACACUUAUCUAUCUAUCCUGGUUAAGUUAGAGCGUAGUUAGUUCUCCCGUUUCCCUGUGGAUACGAUAAAACCUUUAACCGGGUAAAAGCUUCAACGGUAUCCGUGCGCUUGCGGAUUAUCUGUGUGCGUAUAAAUACCAUAGUACACUCUAGUGCCAUGCUGGGGAUGACAACCUAGUAUUGAAGUGGUGUUAGCAAGUGUCAACAAGCAUUUUUGGCGCCGUUGCCGGGGAAACGGUUGCUGAGUUGACUACGAACUAGCUUAAUCAUUUUCUAAAAAAUAAAAAAAAUAUUUUUCCUUUUAUCCUUUGCCUUAUCUCUGCUACUCUUUCUUCUUAUCUAAUCCUUGAUCUCUGGUCUAUUAUGAAUUCAAACAUGUCUAUCUAUGAAUUUCAUAGACCUAUGGGCACACAUCUCGAACCACCAAAAUCUUCAAAGCGUAUCAUAGCAUCUAGUUUUGAGAUAGACCCCGAAUACAUAGAAUUUAUUCAAAAACAACCUUUCUCAGGAGAAGGUGAGGAAAACCCAUACACACACCUAAGAGAGUUUUAUCGAGUCUGUGACCUCCUUCGCAUAGAAGGAAUGUCCG